Molecule: non-coding RNA, 46 nt
Organism: Gasterosteus aculeatus (three-spined stickleback)
Lineage: Eukaryota; Metazoa; Chordata; Actinopteri; Perciformes; Gasterosteidae
Source: Rfam
CAAAAGGCUUCAUUAGAAGCCAAUAUGAAGAAAAAGAAUACAAUAU